GCCAUCUUAGCUCAGUGGUAGAGCGCGUGGCUUUUAACCACGUGGUCGUGGGUUCGAUCCCGUAGACGGUG
This 71-nucleotide transfer RNA is filed under the name Ipomoea nil (Japanese morning glory). It matches the Rfam family "tRNA". From Rfam's summary of the family: Transfer RNA (tRNA) molecules are approximately 80 nucleotides in length. The record is from Rfam by way of RNAcentral. Lineage: Eukaryota; Viridiplantae; Streptophyta; Magnoliopsida; Solanales; Convolvulaceae.